This 75-nucleotide transfer RNA is filed under the name Lupinus albus (white lupine). RNAcentral's name for it is "tRNA-Ala". It matches the Rfam family "tRNA". From Rfam's summary of the family: Transfer RNA (tRNA) molecules are approximately 80 nucleotides in length. Their secondary structure includes four short double-helical elements and three loops (D, anti-codon, and T loops). The record is from RNAcentral. Lineage: Eukaryota; Viridiplantae; Streptophyta; Magnoliopsida; Fabales; Fabaceae.
UGGGGAUGUAGCUCAAAUGGUAGAGCGCUCGCUUUGCAUGCGAGAGGUAUGGGGUUCGAUCCCCCGCAUUUCCAA